AGAGUUUGAUCCUGGCUCAGGAUGAACGCUGGCGGUCUGCUUAACACAUGCAAGUCGAACGGAGUGCUUCGGCACUUAGUGGCGGACGGGUGAGUAACGCGUGAGAAUCUGCCCUUAGGACGGGGACAACGACUGGAAACGGUCGCUAAUACCCGAUAUGCCGAGAGGUGAAAUGAUUUAUUGCCUGAGGAUGAGCUCGCGUCUGAUUAGCUAGUUGGUGGGGUAAUGGCCUACCAAGGCUGCGAUCAGUAGCUGGUCUGAGAGGAUGAUCAGCCACACUGGGACUGAGACACGGCCCAGACUCCUACGGGAGGCAGCAGUGGGGAAUUUUCCGCAAUGGGCGCAAGCCUGACGGAGCAAGACCGCGUGCGGGACGACGGCCUGUGGGUUGUAAACCGCUUUUGACAGGGAAGAAUCCAUGACGGUACCUGUCGAAUCAGCCUCGGCUAACUCCGUGCCAGCAGCCGCGGUAAUACGGAGGAGGCAAGCGUUAUCCGGAAUUAUUGGGCGUAAAGCGUCCGCAGGGUGGUUGGUCAAGUCAGCUGUUAAAGCGUGGGGCUUAACUCCAUAAGGGCAGUUGAAACUGACUAGCUAGAGUGCGAUAGGGGCAAGGGGAAUUCCCAGUGUAGCGGUGAAAUGCGUAGAUAUUGGGAAGAACACCGGUGGCGAAAGCGCCUUGCUGGGUCUGCACUGACACUGAGGGACGAAAGCUAGGGGAGCGAAAGGGAUUAGAUACCCCUGUAGUCCUAGCUGUAAACGAUGGGUACUAGGCGUUGUCCGUAUCGACCCGGGCAGUGCCGUAGCUAACGCGUUAAGUAUCCCGCCUGGGGAGUACGCACGCAAGUGUGAAACUCAAAGGAAUUGACGGGGACCCGCACAAGCGGUGGAGUAUGUGGUUUAAUUCGAUGCAACGCGAAGAACCUUACCAGGGUUUGACAUGUCCGGAACCCUCUUGAAAGAGAGGGGUGCCUUCGGGAACCGGAACACAGGUGGUGCAUGGCUGUCGUCAGCUCGUGUCGUGAGAUGUUGGGUUAAGUCCCGCAACGAGCGCAACCCUCGUUCUUAGUUGCCAGCAUUUAGUUGGGCACUCUAGGGAGACUGCCGGUGACAAACCGGAGGAAGGUGGGGAUGACGUCAAGUCAGCAUGCCCCUUACGCUCUGGGCUACACACGUACUACAAUGCUUCGGACAAAGGGCUGCCAACUCGCGAGAGUGCGCUAAUCCCAUAAACCGAGGCUCAGUUCAGAUUGCAGGCUGCAACUCGCCUGCAUGAAGGCGGAAUCGCUAGUAAUCGCAGGUCAGCAUACUGCGGUGAAUACGUUCCCGGGUCUUGUACACACCGCCCGUCACACCAUGGGAGUUGGCCACGCCCGAAGUCGUUAUCCCAACCCUAUAUGGAGGGAGACGCCGAAGGCAGGGCUGAUGACUGGGGUGAAGUCGUAACAAGGUAGCCGUACCGGAAGGUGUGGCUGGAUCACCUCCUUUUUAGGGAGACCUACCCCACCUCUGAUUGCUGAACGCACAGUGUCAUUAAGCAAAGAGUUGGUCAUCCCAAGGUCGUUCGGGAAUGAGUAAAUGGCUUUCAAACUAUGAGGUUCGGGAAAUGGGCUAUUAGCUCAGGUGGUUAGAGCGCACCCCUGAUAAGGGUGAGGUCCCUGGUUCGAGUCCAGGAUGGCCCACCUCAAUAAAAGGAAGGGGGAAGAUGAGUAUAGGAAAGUGUUUUUCUGGUAAUUUAUCUUCGCCUGUUCAGAUAAGGGGGUUUAGCUCAGUUGGUAGAGCGCCUGCUUUGCAAGCAGGAUGUCAGCAGUUCGAGUCUGCUAACCUCCACUGAAAGUUUUUAUUGAAUGCUUGAAGACGAAAUUUGUUUCAUUGAUUUCAGCAACUAAUUUAGGAAAGGCUAAAUAGACUGCUGGGAUUAGAGCCAGCGAGAACCUAGAAAACUGCAUAGCAAGAAACUUGUCAGGUAGAACAUCAAGGCUUGCCUUGAUGAGAACAGACACCAAUGAAAUUUUGUGGUCAAGCUACAAAGAGCUAACGGUGGAUACCUAGGCACACAGAGGCGAAG
RNAcentral lists this ribosomal RNA (2065 nucleotides) under Egbenema sp. CHAB TP201703.3. Its description in RNAcentral is "bacterial SSU rRNA". The stretch from base 1 to 1485 matches the Rfam family "Bacterial small subunit ribosomal RNA". Lineage: Bacteria; Bacillati; Cyanobacteriota; Cyanophyceae; Oculatellales; Oculatellaceae. The record is from RNAcentral.